ACAGCCCUACGAAAAAACGUACAUGGCUGUCACCCCAGGAGGAAGCCUCUUCUAAAGACGGUACACACGAAACCCCGCAAACAGUUUGCUGAAGACAUGUCAACAAAGCACAUGGAUUACUGGGACCAUGUCCUAUGGUCUGAUGAGAUGGGCGGGCUUUCUUGUGUACCGUCUUCAGAAGAGGCUUCCCCCUGGGGUGACAGCCAUGCACAACAAUUUUAUGUCGAGUGCGGCGUAUGGUCUGAGCACUAACAGGCUGACCCCCCACCUCUUCAAUCUCUGCAGCAAUGCUGACAGCACUCCUGUAACGAGUCACAUGACAUUUUGGAGGGAAAAUGACAAGCAGUACUCAAUUUGGACAUUUAGGGAUGUACGCAGUUCCCAUGCGUUGUAAUCACUUUUGUUGCCAGGAGUUUAGAUAUAAAUGGCUAUAUUUUGAGUUAUUUUGGGGGGAAAUUAAUGAACUCCAUGAUAUAAGCUGCACACAGACUACUUUUCAUUCUGUCAAAGUGUCAUUUUGUUAGUGUUGUCCCAUGAAAAGAAAUACUUAACUAUCUGCAGAAAUGCGAGGGGUGUACUCACUUUUGUGAUACGCUGUAUUUUAACUUAAAUUUCAGUGAGAAAAAUUAACUGUCGUAAUUUAACAUUGUAGUAUUGGUUAGUAGUUAGUAGUCGUUAGUAUAAGUCACAUCAGAUUUAUUUUGCAUUACUCAUUUUGCCCAGGGGUCCCCAAACUACGGCCCGCCUCCACAUUUGGACCAGCCCCUGGAAUUUUGGGGGGCUGCUUGAUUUGUCUAGCUGAGAAAAUAAUUCCCCUUAAAAACAACUGUUUUCUUUGUAAAUAUUCUUAAUGUAUGCCAAAUAAUUUUUACAAGAAAAAAUACAAAUCAUAAUGAAAUCAAUUUUUAUAAGGAUUACGACGCAAAUUUUAAGUACUUUCUGAAAACAAUCGAGCUGGAAUGAAUUCAAUUUUGAAACCAAAUCAGCAUCCCCGAUAGCAGGUGACUGUGCUUUGGAUAUGGCGUCAGCUCGCUAGAUUCACAUAGCAAUCAUGCCUUCUAAACGUCAGUGCGCCAGAUGCGGCCGGGAUCAUCAAGCCGACAGUCCAAAUGAUAGGUUACGCACAGUUCCGGGCCAUACCGUGUAGACCAGACGCGCUCACCAUCGAAAAUUUUUAACGGUCGACGAGUGACAUCACAACUGCGCGCACCCUGAAGGCGAGGCAUCCACGCUGUGACACUAAACAGGACAACGCGCGGGAAACAAAACACUGCAUCUCGGCGGACUGCAAAUUUUGAUGGUAAGUGCUUUAUUCAAAGUCCUAAUCGCGUUUUGUCACUUCUUGACUGUUAAACAAGUUAUUCAAUCAAGCGUUAACAAAAUAGCCAGUGUAUUUAAGUUAUCUGCCAUGUCUCCACGUCAUUCCAAUUUUGUUGCAGAACAACAUAUGGAGGGAGAACGCAUUUACUCUGUAUUGCUGUAAAUGUUUCAAUGUUGGAAUACCCUCAGGGCCCCUGCCCCCUGAGCCAAGCUCUUCCUCCUUGUGUUUGUGUACACUGCUGGCCAAAAGUAUUGGCACACCUGCAAUUCUGUCAGAUAAUGCACAGUUUCUCCCAGAAAAUGAUGGCAAUUACAAAUGCUUUGGUAGUAAUUUCUUCGAUGAAAAAACACAAAAGAGAAAAAAAAAAAAAAAAAAAACUAUUUUUGGCACCCUCAGCCUAAUACUUAAUAGCACAACCUUUGGACAAAAUAACGGCGAACAAUUGUUUCCGGUAUCCAUCAAUGAGUUUCUUACAAUGCUCUGCUGGAAUUUUAGACAAUUCUUCUUUAGCCAACUUCUCCAGGUCUCUGAGAUUUGAAGUGGGCCCUACAUCAUGCUGCAAAAUCUCUUGGUAGUCUUCAGACUUCUUAAUGCCAUGCACACGGUCAAGCAGUCCAGUGCCAAAGGCAGCAAGGCAAACCCAAGACAUCAGGGAACUUCCGCUAUAUUUGACUGUGGGGACCGUGUUCUUUUCUGUGAAGGCCUCGUUUUUUUCCUGUAAACUGUAUGUUGAUGCCUUCUCCCAAAAGCUCUACUUUUGUCUCAUCUGACCAGAGAACAUUCUUCCAAAACUGUUUCGGCUUUCUCAGGUAAGUUUUGGUAAACUCCAGUCUGGCUUUUUUUAUGUCUCUGCGUCAGAAGUGGGGUCUUCCUGGGAAUCCCUACGCUAGAGUCCCUUUUCAUUCUGACGCCAACGGAUAGUACGGGUGGACACUGUUGUACCCUCCGACUUCAGGACAGCUUGAACUUGUUUGGAUGUUAUUCGAUUUUCUUUAUCCACCAUCUGCACAAUGUUUCAUUGAAAUCUCUUGUCAAUUUUUCUUUUCAGUCCACAUCUAGGGAGCUUAGCCACAGUGCCAUGGGCUUUACACUUAUUGAUGACACUGCCGCGGUAGACACAGGAACAUUCAGGUCUUUGGAGAUGGACUUUUAGCCUUGAGAUUGCCCAUGCUUCCUCACAAUUUUGCUUCUCAAGUCCUCAGACAGUUCUUUGGUCUUCUUUCCUUUCUCCAUGCUCAAUGUAGUACACACAAAGACACAGGACAGAGGCUGAGUCAACUUUAGUGUUAUUUAGUUAUUGCCACACCGAGUUAUGUGCCACACAGGUAAGUACCAGGUGAUGUUAAUUACCCAAAUUAGAGAAGCAUCACAUGAUUUUUCAAGGGUGCCAAUACAUUUGUCUGGUCCAUUUUGGAGUUUUGUGUAAAAUUAUCAUGAUUUAAAUUUUUUCCCCCCAUUUUCUUUUGUGUUUUUUCAUUGCAAGCAAAGUAAAUGAAGAUAUUACUACCAAAGCAUUUGUAAUUGCAAUCAUCUUCUGGGAGAAAUUCAGCAUUAUCUGACAGAAUUGCAGGGCUGCCAGUAUUUUUGGCCAGCAGUGUAUGUGUGUCACUGCCUUGACUGCAGGAUUGUACAGAUGGGUGACCCUGGGACCAGGUGCAGGUGAUCUUCAGCAGCUUACGUAAAUCGGUCCUUGGCCUCAAAUCAUUGCCAGAUCAACUCAACUACACAAGUUGAUCCUGUACUGAUUGCCUGUCCGUUCACCUGUUCUAUCACCAAAUUGCCAACCGGAUUCUUCAAACACUAUCUGCUGCUCCCUCUCAUGGUCAAUUAACUGCCACUCCCUCUCAUCGUCAAUCAACUCUUGUUACCACUGCCAGUUUGCCCCAGUUUGCCUCAGUUUGCCUCGUAACUCCAGAACCUUAAAGCAGAAGUUCAGAAUUUUUGACAGUGGACUUAAUCUUCGAGUAAGCGGGCGUUUAAUUAGUUGGUGGAGUUGAUUUCAACAAAUUACGUGCAGUUUGUAAGUUAUUUGUUAGUUUCAGGGCUCUGAAGUGGCUAAGCUAGCACGAGUCAAUCGUCCCUUCCUAGCAUGCUAAUUAAAAAAAACGAUACAGAUAGACGAACAGAUCUAACAUAGUGAAAUAAAUUCAAAAUGCUUGAAAAUUGUUCCAUAACACCCAUGCGGCCAAAACAAUUGUCACACCAAACUACCGUAAUUCAUUUCAUUCUUCAGGAUUUUUUUUUUUUUUUUUUUUAAUGCUUAAUACAAC
Molecule: long non-coding RNA, 3591 nt
Organism: Corythoichthys intestinalis (scribbled pipefish)
Lineage: Eukaryota; Metazoa; Chordata; Actinopteri; Syngnathiformes; Syngnathidae
Exons: 2
Source: RefSeq, a predicted model, not a curated record